This 569-nucleotide long non-coding RNA is filed under the name Lactuca sativa (garden lettuce). RNAcentral describes it as "long non-coding RNA (LSAT_LNC000060)". Lineage: Eukaryota; Viridiplantae; Streptophyta; Magnoliopsida; Asterales; Asteraceae. The record is from RNAcentral.
CGGGAUACAGCCCCACCUCGCCUGGUUAUAGCCCAACCUCACCGGGCUAUAGCCCUACAUCUCCGGGUUACAGUCCCACCUCUCCAACUUACAGCCCAAGUUCACCCGGUUAUAGCCCAACAAGUCCUACCUACUCACCCACUUCACCUAGCUACUCCCCUACCUCACCAAGCUACUCACCCACAUCACCUAGCUACAGCCCUACAUCGCCAGCUUACAGCCCGACCUCUCCGGCUUACAGCCCGACCUCUCCUUCCUACAGCCCGACAUCACCAUCCUACAGCCCAACCUCACCCUCCUACAGCCCAACCUCACCCUCUUACAGCCCGACCUCUCCUUCCUACAGCCCAACAUCACCAUCCUACAGCCCGACCUCCCCUUCCUACAGCCCAACCUCCCCUGCUUACAGCCCAACUUCACCUGGGUACAGUCCUACUUCCCCAAGCUACAGUCCUACUUCUCCAAGUUACAGUCCCACCUCACCAAGUUACAACCCUUCAUCCGCUAAGUACAGCCCCUCGUUGGCUUAUUCUCCUAGUAGUCCAUACAGCCCUACAUCCCCCAACUAC